ACACAUAUAUGUGUGUGUAUGUGUGUGUAUAUAUAUAUAUAUAUAUAUAUACACACACACACACACACACAGACAUACAUAUACGUAU
Podarcis lilfordi (Lilford's wall lizard) is the source of this 88-nucleotide non-coding RNA. The record is from the annotation of a GenBank genome assembly. NCBI's taxonomy places the organism in Eukaryota, Metazoa, Chordata, Lepidosauria, Squamata, Lacertidae.